AUUGAACGCUGGCGGCAUGCUUUACACAUGCAAGUCGAACGGCAGCGCGGGCUUCGGCCUGGCGGCGAGUGGCGAACGGGUGAGUAAUACAUCGGAACGUGCCCAGUAGUGGGGGAUAGCUCGGCGAAAGCCGGAUUAAUACCGCAUACGACCUGAGGGUGAAAGCGGGGGAUCUUCGGACAUCGCGCUAUUGGAGCGGCCGAUGGCAGAUUAGCUAGUUGGUGGGGUAAAGGCCUACCAAGGCGACGAUCUGUAGCUGGUCUGAGAGGACGACCAGCCACACUGGGACUGAGACACGGCCCAGACUCCUACGGGAGGCAGCAGUGGGGAAUUUUGGACAAUGGGCGAAAGCCUGAUCCAGCAAUGCCGCGUGUGUGAUGAAGGCCUUCGGGUUGUAAAGCACUUUUGGCGGGAACGAAAAGGACUGUGCCAAUACCACGGUUCGAUGACGGUACCCGCAGAAUAAGCACCGGCUAACUACGUG
Molecule: ribosomal RNA, 484 nt
Filed under: uncultured bacterium
Lineage: Bacteria
Description: partial 16S ribosomal RNA
Rfam family: Bacterial small subunit ribosomal RNA
Source: RNAcentral